This 474-nucleotide ribosomal RNA is filed under the name uncultured bacterium. RNAcentral describes it as "bacterial SSU rRNA". It matches the Rfam family "Bacterial small subunit ribosomal RNA", at positions 335 to 801 of the family's 1533-position model. The record is from RNAcentral.
ACUCCUACGGGAGGCAGCAGUAGGGAAUCUUCCACAAUGGGCGCAAGCCUGAUGGAGCAACACCGCGUGAGUGAAGAAGGGUUUCGGCUCGUAAAGCUCUGUUGUUAAAGAAGAACACGUAUGAGAGUAACUGUUCAUACGUUGACGGUAUUUAACCAGAAAGUCACGGCUAACUACGUGCCAGCAGCCGCGGUAAUACGUAGGUGGCAAGCGUUAUCCGGAUUUAUUGGGCGUAAAGAGAGUGCAGGCGGUUUUCUAAGUCUGAUGUGAAAGCCUUCGGGCUUAACCGGAGAAGUGCAUCGGAAACUGGAUAACUUGAGUGCAGAAGAGGGUAGUGGAACUCCAUGUGUAGCGGUGGAAUGCGUAGAUAUAUGGAAGAACACCAGUGGCGAAGGCGGCUACCUGGUCUGCAACUGACGCUGAGACUCGAAAGCAUGGGUAGCGAACAGGAUUAGAUACCCUGGUAGGAUAGCG